This 417-nucleotide ribosomal RNA is filed under the name Triticum aestivum (bread wheat). RNAcentral's name for it is "partial small subunit ribosomal RNA". Lineage: Eukaryota; Viridiplantae; Streptophyta; Magnoliopsida; Poales; Poaceae. The record is from RNAcentral.
CAGGCACCAAAGAAGGAGAAGGCCCCGGUGGCAUCGUCGAAGCCGGCCAAGUCCGGUGGCGGCAAGCAGAAGAAGAAGAAGUGGAGCAAGGGCAAGCAAAAGGAGGUGCCCAAGUACAAUGUGAUGCUCAGUUUAGUGCAUCCUCAGGUUUUGCUCGAUCAACGGGUCUCCCACAAGCAGAUCACGCCCUCCGUCCUCUCCGAGCGCCUCAGGGUAACCUCCUCCCUCCCUGCGCCGGAUCUCUUCUUCUUGCUUGUCUCCUUCCUUACUUCCCAUGAGAACCAAGAUCUCCGGACGGUAGGAUAUGUGUGUGAUGCAUCAUGGCUCCUGGUGAAGUGUUCUGCUCUGAGCAAGAACAAGAUCUCUAUUUUGGGGUCAGUCCGUCAGAUUUUGCUUGGUGUGCCAUGUUAUAGCUAG